Molecule: ribosomal RNA, 301 nt
Filed under: uncultured bacterium
Lineage: Bacteria
Description: partial 16S ribosomal RNA
Rfam family: Bacterial small subunit ribosomal RNA
Source: RNAcentral
CAGCCGCCGCGGUAAUACGGAGGGUGCAAGCGUUAAUCGGAAUUACUGGGCGUAAAGCGCACGCAGGCGGUUCGUUAAGUCAGAUGUGAAAUCCCCGGGCUCAACCUGGGAAUGGCAAUGGAUACUGGCAAGCUAGAGUGUGUCAGAGGAUGGUGGAAUUCCCGGUGUAGCGGUGAAAUGCGCAGAUACCGGGAGGAACGCCGAUGGCGAAGGCAGCCACCUGGUCCACUUCUGACGCUGAGGCGCGAAAGCGUGGGGAGCAAACCGGAUUAGAUACCCCUGUAGUCCCUGUCUCUUAUAC